CUUCGGGGUACUCGAGUGGCGAACGGGUGAGUAACACGUGGGUGAUCUGCCCUGCACUUUGGGAUAAGCCUGGGAAACUGGGUCUAAUACCGAAUAGGACCACGCAUUUCAUGGUGUGUGGUGGAAAGCUUUUGCGGUGUGGGAUGGGCCCGCGGCCUAUCAGCUUGUUGGUGGGGUAAUGGCCUACCAAGGCGACGACGGGUAGCCGGCCUGAGAGGGUGACCGGCCACACUGGGACUGAGAUACGGCCCAGACUCCUACGGGAGGCAGCAGUGGGGAAUAUUGCACAAUGGGCGCAAGCCUGAUGCAGCGACGCCGCGUGAGGGAUGACGGCCUUCGGGUUGUAAACCUCUUUCAAUAGGGACGAAGCGCAAGUGACGGUACCUAUAGAAGAAGGACCGGCCAACUACGUGCCAGCAGCCGCGGUAAUACGUAGGGUCCGAGCGUUGUCCGGAAUUACUGGGCGUAAAGAGCUCGUAGGUGGUUUGUCGCGUUGUUCGUGAAAACUCACAGCUUAACUGUGGGCGUGCGGGCGAUACGGGCAGACUAGAGUACUGCAGGGGAGACUGGAAUUCCUGGUGUAGCGGUGGAAUGCGCAGAUAUCAGGAGGAACACCGGUGGCGAAGGCGGGUCUCUGGGCAGUAACUGACGCUGAGGAGCGAAAGCGUGGGGAGCGAACAGGAUUAGAUACCCUGGUAGUCCACGCCGUAAACGGUGGGUACUAGGUGUGGGUUUCCUUCCUUGGGAUCCGUGCCGUAGCUAACGCAUUAAGUACCCCGCCUGGGGAGUACGGCCGCAAGGCUAAAACUCAAAGGAAUUGACGGGGGCCCGCACAAGCGGCGGAGCAUGUGGAUUAAUUCGAUGCAACGCGAAGAACCUUACCUGGGUUUGACAUGCACAGGACGCCGGUAGAGAUAUUGGUUCCCUUGUGGCCUGUGUGCAGGUGGUGCAUGGCUGUCGUCAGCUCGUGUCGUGAGAUGUUGGGUUAAGUCCCGCAACGAGCGCAACCCUUGUCUCAUGUUGCCAGCACGUUAUGGU
This is a ribosomal RNA of 1038 nucleotides. It matches the Rfam family "Bacterial small subunit ribosomal RNA", at positions 78 to 1132 of the family's 1533-position model.